GGUGCAUGCGUCGGGGGUUGGUUCCUUCUAAGUCGUAAAACAAAACGACUCUCGGCAACGGAUAUCUCGGCUCUCGCAUCGAUGAAGAACGUAGCGAAAUGCGAUACUUGGUGUGAAUUGCAGAAUCCCGUGAACCAUCGAGUCUUUGAACGCAAGU
Molecule: ribosomal RNA, 157 nt
Filed under: Tovomita acutiflora
Lineage: Eukaryota; Viridiplantae; Streptophyta; Magnoliopsida; Malpighiales; Clusiaceae
Description: 5.8S ribosomal RNA
Rfam family: 5.8S ribosomal RNA (bases 47-157)
About the family: 5.8S ribosomal RNA (5.8S rRNA) is a component of the large subunit of the eukaryotic ribosome. It is transcribed by RNA polymerase I as part of the 45S precursor that also contains 18S and 28S rRNA. Functionally, it is thought that 5.8S rRNA may be involved in ribosome translocation.
Source: RNAcentral